UGAUGACGAGACGCUAAGGCGUUGAAGUGGUGUAUGUCAGACUUCCAAGAAAAGCUCGCAAUGUCAUAGAUAAAAAAUGCCUGUACCAUAACCGACACAGGUGGGUAGGUAGAGUAUACUAAGGGGCGCGAGAUAACUCUCUCUAAGGAACUCGGCAAAAUGACUCCGUAACUUCGGGAGAAGGAGUGCCUUAUUUAUAAGGUUGCAAUAACAAGAUCCAAGCAACUGUUUAUCAAAAACACAGGUCUCCGCUAAGUCGUAAGACGAUGUAUGGGGGCUGACGCCUGCCCAGUGCCAGAAGGUUAAAGAAGUUGGUUAGUGUAAGCGAAGCUGAUAACUGAAGCCCUGGUGAACGGCGGCCGUAACGAUAACGGUCCUAAGGUAGCGAAAUUCCUUGUCGGGUAAGUUCCGACCCGCACGAAAGGCGUAAUGAUUUGGAUACUGUCUCGGAGAGAGGCUCGGUGAAAUAGACUUGUCUGUGAAGAUGCGGACUACCUGCACCAGGACAGAAAGACCCUAUGAAGCUUUACUGUAACUUGAAAUUGGAAUUGGACUUUGCUUGCGCAGUAUAGGUGGGAAGCGUUGAAGAUACUCUUGCGGGACUAUUGGAGCUAUCAGUGAGAUACCACUCUUGUAAUGUUAGAUUUCUAACUUUGAACCAUAAUCUGGUCAAAGAACAGUUUCAGGCGGGCAGUUUGACUGGGGCGGUCGCCUCCUAAAUGGUAACGGAGGCGUACAAAGGUUUCCUCUGAACGGAUAGAAAUCGUAUCUAGAGUGUAAAGGCAUAAGGAAGCUUGACUGUGAGACCUACAAGUCGAGCAGGGACGAAAGUCGGUCUUAGUGAUCUGACGGUACUGAGUGGAAAGGCCGUCACUCAACGGAUAAAAGUUACUCUAGGAUAACAGGCUGAUCUCCCCCAAGAGUUCACAUCGACGGGGAGGUUUGGCACCUCGAUGUCGGCUCAUCGCAUCCUGGGGCGGUAGUACGUCCCAAGGGUUGGGCUGUUCGCCCAUGAAAGCGGUACGCGAGCUGGGUUCAGAACGUCGUGAGACAGUUCGGUCCAUAUCCGGUGUAGGCGUUAGAAUAUUGAGAGGAGCCUUCUUUAGUACGAGAGGACCGAGAAGGACACACCGCUGGUGUACCAGUUAUCGUGCCAACGGUAAACGCUGGGUAGCUAUGUGUGGAGAGGAUAACCGCUGAAAGCAUCUAAGUGGGAAGCCCACCUCAAGAUGAGUAUUCUCAUC
RNAcentral lists this ribosomal RNA (1244 nucleotides) under metagenome. RNAcentral's name for it is "bacterial LSU rRNA". It matches the Rfam family "Bacterial large subunit ribosomal RNA", at positions 1564 to 2818 of the family's 2925-position model. The record is from RNAcentral.